Cavia porcellus (domestic guinea pig) is the source of this 60-nucleotide transfer RNA. It matches the Rfam family "tRNA". Rfam says of the family: Transfer RNA (tRNA) molecules are approximately 80 nucleotides in length. Lineage: Eukaryota; Metazoa; Chordata; Mammalia; Rodentia; Caviidae. The record is from Rfam.
GGGGAUUUAGCUCAGUGACAUAAGCGCCUGCCUUGCAAGCAGGCGUGAGUUCAAUCCCCC